CGCGAGGCAGAGCAAAUCUCCAAAAGCCGUCCCAGUUCGGAUUGCAGGCUGCAACCCGCCUGCAUGAAGUUGGAAUCGCUAGUAAUCGCGGAUCAGCAUGCCGCGGUGAAUACGUUCCCGGGCCUUGUACACACCGCCCGUCACACCAUGAGAGUCGGGAACACCCGAAGUCCGUAGCCUAACCGCAAGGGGGGCGCGGCCGAAGGUGGGUUCGAUAAUUGGGGUGAAGUCGUAACAAGGUAGC
Molecule: ribosomal RNA, 244 nt
Filed under: uncultured bacterium
Lineage: Bacteria
Description: partial 16S ribosomal RNA
Rfam family: Bacterial small subunit ribosomal RNA
Source: RNAcentral